GACGAACGCUGGCGGCGUGCCUAACACAUGCAAGUCGAGCGGGGAUUUAAGUGGAAGUUCUUCGGAAUGGAGAUUUAAAUUCUAGCGGCGGACGGGUGAGUAACGCGUGAACAAUCUGUCCCGGACAGGGGGAUAACACUUGGAAACAGGUGCUAAUACCGCAUAAGACCACGGCCUCGCAUGGGGCUGAGGUAAAAGGAGCAAUCCGGUUCGGGGUGAGUUCGCGUCCGAUUAGCUAGUUGGUGAGGUAACGGCCCACCAAGGCGACGAUCGGUAGCCGGCCUGAGAGGGUGAACGGCCACAUUGGAACGGAGAGACGGUCCAAACUCCUACGGGAGGCAGCAGUGGGGAAUAUUGGGCAAUGGGCGAAAGCCUGACCCAGCAACGCCGCGUGAGGGAAGAAGGUUUUCGGAUUGUAAACCUCUGUCCUAUGGGACGAAGGAAGUGACGGUACCAUAGGAGGAAGCCCCGGCUAACUACGUG
This 483-nucleotide ribosomal RNA is filed under the name uncultured bacterium. RNAcentral's name for it is "partial 16S ribosomal RNA". It matches the Rfam family "Bacterial small subunit ribosomal RNA", at positions 28 to 507 of the family's 1533-position model. The record is from RNAcentral.